Molecule: unclassified non-coding RNA, 321 nt
Filed under: Hevea brasiliensis (rubber tree)
Lineage: Eukaryota; Viridiplantae; Streptophyta; Magnoliopsida; Malpighiales; Euphorbiaceae
Source: RNAcentral
CCGAACCGAAUGCGGUUUUCGAUGCGCUUCUCGAGCCACAACACUUCCACUUCCGUGAGAUCGCUCAUGCGGCGGCUCCCGGACGCUGGGGCUGGCAGCCGUGAGCUUGGGGCUCGGUCGAGAGUGUGUAUCGCCUGCAAAGGCAGGCUGGCCUGUCGGACUGCCGUUGCCGAGCGCCAUCGACGCCGCUUUCGGCCUGCUCCGUUAGAAGAAAUCCGAAGGAUUUCCGGUUAGUAAAGUUAGAGCGGCUGGAAAGCGCGGAGAAACAAGCUCUUAAGCUCGAUUCCGGUCCCCGAUAGCACGAGGAUCGGGGCCCCGAUA